CUCGGCAACGGAUAUCUCGGCUCUCGCAUCGAUGAAGAACGUAGCGAAAUGCGAUACUUGGUGUGAAUUGCAGAAUCCCGUGAACCAUCGAGUCUUUGAACGCAAGUUGCGCCCGAAGCCAUUAGGCUGAGGGCACGCCUGCCUGGGCGUCACGC
This 155-nucleotide ribosomal RNA is filed under the name Origanum majorana. RNAcentral describes it as "5.8S ribosomal RNA". It matches the Rfam family "5.8S ribosomal RNA". Rfam says of the family: 5.8S ribosomal RNA (5.8S rRNA) is a component of the large subunit of the eukaryotic ribosome. It is transcribed by RNA polymerase I as part of the 45S precursor that also contains 18S and 28S rRNA. Lineage: Eukaryota; Viridiplantae; Streptophyta; Magnoliopsida; Lamiales; Lamiaceae. The record is from RNAcentral.